This is a microRNA precursor of Homo sapiens (human), 83 nucleotides long. It matches the Rfam family "mir-1299 microRNA precursor family". The record is from Rfam. NCBI's taxonomy places the organism in Eukaryota, Metazoa, Chordata, Mammalia, Primates, Hominidae.
CCUCAUAGCAGUGUUCUGGAAUCCUUUGUGAGGGACAAACAUUCAGACCUCAGCAGGAGUGUUCUGGAAUCCUGUGUGAGGGA